UUAGAGUUUGAUCAUGGCUCAGGAUGAACGCUAGCGGGAGGCCUAACACAUGCAAGCCGGCGGUAGAAGUCCUUCGGGACUUUGAGAGCGGCGUACGGGUGCGUAACACGUGUGCAACCGCCUUUAUCUGGGGGAUAGCCUUUCGAAAGGAAGAUUAAUACCCCAUAAUAUAGUGACUGCAUCAGUUAUUAUUGAAAACUCCGGUGGAUAGAGAUGGGCACGCGCAAGAUUAGAUAGUUGUGAGGUAACGGCUCACCAAGUCUGUGAUCUUUAGGGGGCCUGAGAGGGUGAUCCCCCACCUGGUACUGAGACACGGACCAGACUCCUACGGGAGGCAGCAGUGAGGAAUAUUGGACAAUGGUGAGAGCCUGAUCCAGCCAUCCCGCGUGAAGGACGACGGCCCUAUGGGUUGUAAACUUUUUUGUACAGGGAUAAACCCAGAUACGUGUAUCUGGCUGAAGGUACUGUACGAAUAAGCACGGCUAACUCCGUGCCAGCAGCCGCGGUAAUACGGAGGGUGCAAGCGUUAUCCGGAUUUAUGGGUUUAAAGGGUCCGUAGGCGGGCCCGUAAGUCAGUGGUGAAAUCUCGCAGCUUAACUUGAAACUGCCAUUGAUACUGCGGGUCUUGAGUAAAUUUGAAGUGGCUG
RNAcentral lists this ribosomal RNA (647 nucleotides) under uncultured Chryseobacterium sp. RNAcentral describes it as "bacterial SSU rRNA". It matches the Rfam family "Bacterial small subunit ribosomal RNA", at positions 1 to 663 of the family's 1533-position model. The record is from RNAcentral. Lineage: Bacteria; Pseudomonadati; Bacteroidota; Flavobacteriia; Flavobacteriales; Weeksellaceae.